This 301-nucleotide ribosomal RNA is filed under the name uncultured bacterium. Its description in RNAcentral is "partial 16S ribosomal RNA". It matches the Rfam family "Bacterial small subunit ribosomal RNA", at positions 509 to 807 of the family's 1533-position model. The record is from RNAcentral.
CAGUAGCCGCGGUAAUACGAGGGGUGCAGGCGUUAUUCGGAUUGAUUGGGUGUAAAGGGUGUGCAGACGGCUUAUUAAGUCACUUGUUAAAUUCUUCGGCCUAACUGAGGGUCUGCAAGUGAUACUGAUGAGCUAGAGGGUGGAAGAGAGAAGUGGAAUUCUCGGAGUAGCGGUAAAAUGCGUAGAUCUCGAGAGGAACACCAAUGGCGAAGGCAGCUUCUUGGUCCAUUCCUGACGUUCAUACACGAAAGCGUGGGGAGCGAACAGGAUUAGAUACCCCCGUAGUCCCUGUCUCUUAUAC